AUUGAACGCUGGCGGCAGGCCUAACACAUGCAAGUCGAGCGAGCGUCGGACGGGUGUGUACUGUAUGGGGACUGCCCGAUAGAGGGGGAUAACUCCUGUAAACGGUGUCUAAUACCCCAUACUGUCGGAUAACCCAUAUGGGAUUUGCUAGUAGGUAAGGUAAUGGCUUACCUAGGCGACGAUCCCUAGCUGGUCUGAGAGGAUGAUCAGCCACACUGGUACUGAGACACGGCCCAGACUCCUACGGAGGCAGCAGUGGGGAAUAUUGCACAAUGGGCGCAAGCCUGAUGCAGCCAUGCCGCGUGUAUGAAGAAGGCCCUAGGGUUGUAAAGUACUUUCAGUCGGGAGGCGGUACCGAAAGAAGAAGCACCGGCUAACUCCGUGCCAGCAGCCGCGGUAAUUG
RNAcentral lists this ribosomal RNA (403 nucleotides) under uncultured bacterium. RNAcentral's name for it is "partial 16S ribosomal RNA". It matches the Rfam family "Bacterial small subunit ribosomal RNA", at positions 30 to 527 of the family's 1533-position model. The record is from RNAcentral.